CAGAGAGGUUACAUGAUUUGCCCAGGGUGCACAGUUAGUAAGCUUUGCUUUCUCUGAAGUGGGGUGAUUGGUUCAGGGAUGAAUAUGUGACCUACAAGCCAACAAGACCCAAUUACUGGGGCUUCUUGGCAAGAGACUUUUGGUUUUCUCCCCUGGACAUGAAGCUGGGGUGGCUGUGAAAAGCAGUGCAGCCACCUGGUGAUAACAGGGAGAAAGCUUCUUUGAGGAUGGAGCCAUGGUAGAACUGAGAGAAAGGAAAAGAAGGAAGAGACCGAAACAGUCCCAAUGACAAAAUGGGAGUUCCUGAGCAGACUGCCUGUAGCCAGCCUACUCCUGGCCACUUCAGUUUGAUAUGGGGAAUGCAGCUAAAGAGGUCAAAUAACUUGCUCAAGUUUACACAGUGACAACACUGGAAUUUGAACCCAGCAAGACUGACUUGUCACUGCCAUCCAAUACUAAUCCUCAUCAGCAUCAGGUUCGCAGGGUUGGAGCCCCUUUCUUGGAAGACCUUCUGUGGUAGGCUCUUCCCUAGUGGCCUCUUUAGGAACAAUGCCUCUGACCCCUGGCCACUAGCUGAAGUUCUGGUCCAAAACAGAUGAACACCCUCCCAAUGAUGUCCCAAGCAUUGCCACUUCCUGGAAACUCAUACUGCCAUGUUCCACUCAUCUGAUUGGAUUUCCGUGAUGUGGAUUCUUGCCUGGACUAGUAAUCAUACUAAGCUGUAACUACUUACCACUCAGUGUGAAAGCACAUGAGGCAUAUUGCUACUGAUCCUUACAAGAGUCUGCAUGAAGAGAGUGUAUCUCCCAUUUUAGAAGUAGCUCAGAGGAGUGCAAAUGAUGGCCCAAAACCACACGGAUAGAGCAUAGCAAAGUUAGCAUUCAAACUCAGGUCUGCUGACAUCACAGCCCAUAUUCAUUUCAUUGUUUCUAAGUUUGCUAGUCCCCAUGAAACACUCUCAGUUGAACCUCUGACCACUCCCCUUGGGGGCCAGCCUCAACCCCUGGUUAGUGGCCUAACCCUAGUCCCACCCACCACAGCUUCCUCUCCUUCCCCUCCUUCCCUCACCCUAGGCCUGCCAAGUCCACAUCCCACCUUGGGAUUGAGCUCGUCUGGGGUGUGAGCUUUAUUAAUCCAAAAUGUUCAAAAAACUUUCCAUAGACUAUGACUCAGAAUAUGUUUAAGCCAUCAUCCUCAGCAAACUAACACAGGAACAGAAAACCAAACACCUCAUGUUCUCACUCAUAAGUGGGAGUUGAACAAUGAGAACACAUGGACACAGGGAGGGGAACAACAUACACCGGG
This 1305-nucleotide long non-coding RNA is filed under the name Homo sapiens (human). RNAcentral's name for it is "HSALNT0141379". Lineage: Eukaryota; Metazoa; Chordata; Mammalia; Primates; Hominidae. The record is from RNAcentral.